Molecule: ribosomal RNA, 1472 nt
Filed under: Campylobacter coli
Lineage: Bacteria; Pseudomonadati; Campylobacterota; Epsilonproteobacteria; Campylobacterales; Campylobacteraceae
Description: partial 23S ribosomal RNA
Rfam family: Bacterial large subunit ribosomal RNA
Source: RNAcentral
UAGGGCGGGACACGAGAAAUCCUGUCUGAAGCUGGGUCGACCACGAUCCAACCCUAAAUACUAAUACCAGAUCGAUAGUGCACAAGUACCGUGAGGGAAAGGUGAAAAGAACUGAGGUGAUCAGAGUGAAAUAGAACCUGAAACCAUUUGCUUACAAUCAUUCAGAGCCCUAUGUAGCAAUACAGGGUGAUGGACUGCCUUUUGCAUAAUGAGCCUGCGAGUUGUGGUGUCUGGCAAGGUUAAGCAAACGCGAAGCCGUAGCGAAAGCGAGUCUGAAUAGGGCGCUUAGUCAGAUGCUGCAGACCCGAAACGAAGUGAUCUAUCCAUGAGCAAGUUGAAGCUAGUGUAAGAACUAGUGGAGGACUGAACCCAUAGGCGUUGAAAAGCCCCGGGAUGACUUGUGGAUAGGGGUGAAAGGCCAAUCAAACUUCGUGAUAGCUGGUUCUCUCCGAAAUAUAUUUAGGUAUAGCGUUGUGUCGUAAUAUAAGGGGGUAGAGCACUGAAUGGGCUAGGGCAUACACCAAUGUACCAAACCCUAUCAAACUCCGAAUACCUUAUAUGUAAUCACAGCAGUCAGGCGGCGAGUGAUAAAAUCCGUCGUCAAGAGGGAAACAACCCAGACUACCAGCUAAGGUCCCUAAAUCUUACUUAAGUGGAAAACGAUGUGAAGUUACUUAAACAACCAGGAGGUUGGCUUAGAAGCAGCCAUCCUUUAAAGAAAGCGUAAUAGCUCACUGGUCUAGUGAUUUUGCGCGGAAAAUAUAACGGGGCUAAAGUAAGUACCGAAGCUGUAGACUUGCGCACAACUUAGAUUAUUUAAGUUUAGAAUAUGAGAAACUAAGUUAUAUGUUUAGUUAUAUUUUUACUGAUUUUUAUAGAGUAAAGAUAGAAAUAAAACUUAGUAAAAUCAGUAAAAAUAUUCUUAGACUAAAGUUAAGUAGUUUAAGUUGUGUGCAAGUGGUAGGAGAGCGUUCUAUUUGCGUCGAAGGUAUACCGGUAAGGAGUGCUGGAGCGAAUAGAAGUGAGCAUGCAGGCAUGAGUAGCGAUAAUUAAUGUGAGAAUCAUUAACGCCGUAAACCCAAGGUUUCCUACGCGAUGCUCGUCAUCGUAGGGUUAGUCGGGUCCUAAGUCGAGUCCGAAAGGGGUAGACGAUGGCAAAUUGGUUAAUAUUCCAAUACCAACAUUAGUGUGCGAUGGAAGGACGCUUAGGGCUAAGGGGGCUAGCGGAUGGAAGUGCUAGUCUAAGGUCGUAGGAGGUUAUACAGGCAAAUCCGUAUAACAAUACUCCGAGAACUGAAAGGCUUUUUGAAGUCUUCGGAUGGAUAGAAGAACCCCUGAUGCCGUCGAGCCAAGAAAAGUUUCUAAGUUUAGCUAAUGUUGCCCGUACCGUAAACCGACACAGGUGGGUGGGAUGAGUAUUCUAAGGCGCGUGGAAGAACUCUCUUUAAGGAACUCUGCAAAAUAGCACCGUA